This 514-nucleotide ribosomal RNA is filed under the name Sungouiella intermedia. RNAcentral describes it as "[Candida] intermedia partial large subunit ribosomal RNA". It matches the Rfam family "Eukaryotic large subunit ribosomal RNA", at positions 50 to 493 of the family's 3401-position model. Lineage: Eukaryota; Fungi; Ascomycota; Pichiomycetes; Serinales; Metschnikowiaceae. The record is from RNAcentral.
UCGGAGGAAAAGAAACCAACAGGGAUUGCCUCAGUAACGGCGAGUGAAGCGGCAAAAGCUCAAAUUUGAAAUCCUUCGGGAGUUGUAAUUUGUAGGUUGGGAGACCCCGCGGCUAGUGGCACCAAGUCCCUUGGAACAGGGCGCCUUAGAGGGUGAGAGCCCCGUAGGUACCACAAUACCGUCUUGUGUCUCCUCUCCAAAGAGUCGAGUUGUUUGGGAAUGCAGCUCAAAGUGGGUGGUAAAUUCCAUCUAAAGCUAAAUACCGGCGAGAGACCGAUAGCGAACAAGUACAGUGAUGGAAAGAUGAAAAGCACUUUGAAAAGAGAGUGAAACAGUACGUGAAAUUGUUGAAAGGGAAGGGCUUGCAAGCAGACACGGCCUUCGUGCCGGGCCAGCAUCGGUUGCUAGGGGUGGAUAAGGAACAAGGAAUGUAGCUCCUCGGAGUAUUAUAGCCUUGCGCGAUACACCCACUGGCGACCGAGGCCUGCGGUAUUCUUACCUACUACAAUGCGAG